Molecule: ribosomal RNA, 381 nt
Filed under: Triticum aestivum (bread wheat)
Lineage: Eukaryota; Viridiplantae; Streptophyta; Magnoliopsida; Poales; Poaceae
Description: partial small subunit ribosomal RNA
Source: RNAcentral
AUGGCCGAACGGAUACUUCUGCCAGUUUUGCUUAAGGAACUUAGAAUCCUCCAUGCAUUUGUUUUGGAAGUGUGGCUCGACCCAGACUGCGUGGAACAAGAACAGCCGUCUGGCAAACACAUGGGAUCAGUGGUGGAGCUUAGUAGAAAUUGUUGGGUCCCAAGAGUUUUGUCCAAGGGUGCAGCGGCCCCCCUCAGCCUCAACAUAGCUCCGCCGGUGCAUGGGACUCAAAGUCAAAAUCAGAAGACAUUGUCGCCACAAUCAUCAGCAAAGCCCGACCAGUUUCAGGAAGGCAACCUGAUCGCUCACCAUGAUCAUCCUAUGGAGAAUUUGGAUGGAAAGAAACGAGUGCUCCUUCAGAGCCAAGGUGGCGUCAACUAA